RNAcentral lists this long non-coding RNA (642 nucleotides) under Cicer arietinum (chickpea). RNAcentral's name for it is "long non-coding RNA (CARI_LNC001413)". The record is from RNAcentral. Lineage: Eukaryota; Viridiplantae; Streptophyta; Magnoliopsida; Fabales; Fabaceae.
AUAUGCAAUAUUAUCUUUAAAAUAAUCUUUAACUUUAAAAAUGUAAAAAUCUUCUUGUCCUUAAAAUAUAAAAAUAUUAUAUUCCUUAAAGUAUGGAAAAAUUAUGCAUGAUCUCUCCUUUUCCUUAGAGUACGGAAAAGUUUUCCCAAUUAUCUUGACAUUAGCCACUAAGAUAAUUGAAACCUCUUGGUAAAGUUGUUCAAUUCAUGACCCCAAACCGGCGUCCCAAUUCGUUCUUCCUUUACCUGUUAUUUCAUGUCUGAAACAAUCAUGAAAUGUCCCAUUGUGUACUUGGACCAUGAAUGUCAUGACUUGAUGAAUGCAUUGCAUAUGUAAUGUUAUGUAUGCAAUGCACAUUUCAUAAUACCAUUAUUGCAACUGUUUAAUCAACUCAACAAGAUAAUAUAAUUAAAAGGUAACUUAACUUCAAUCAUCCAUAGAAAAAUCCUAGCUGGUUGUUCAUUUAUGUGAGGUUAAUUCUAACCAGAGGCAACCUGAUUAGAGGAAGCUUGAAUUAGAGGCAGCAUGAUCAAAUACAUAUUUCUAAUUAGAGUCAACAUGAUCAAAGAACACUUGGAUAAAAGGUAGCAUGAUCAGAGGAAUAUUGAUAUGAGUCAUUCUUGGAUUAGAGGCAACAUGAUU